RNAcentral lists this microRNA (24 nucleotides) under Mus musculus (house mouse). RNAcentral's name for it is "mmu-miR-5123". Lineage: Eukaryota; Metazoa; Chordata; Mammalia; Rodentia; Muridae. The record is from miRBase by way of RNAcentral.
UGUAGAUCCAUAUGCCAUGGUGUG